AAGAGAGUAAAACUUCUGCUAACAUCACGCGUAUAGGAAUCUAUCAUUAUCACCAAGUCAAAAAGAUUCUUCAGGACUGUGACAAGAAUCCAGUGGACGAACACCAACUGCUGUAUGACGAGCAAAAUCCGCUCUCGUUAUUUGCUUCAACUUACAUGCCAAGGCAUCUACUUGCUUGUUGACGUCUACAUUAGCAAAGUCAAAUUUUUAAAGAAGUCAAGAUUUGAACUCAGUAAAUUACUUGAGUUAUACGGCAAUGGUGAAAGCAAGACCAGCGAACCUGGUGAAGUUGGAUCAAAAGUUGACAGACCCGAAGGCUACGAACCAACAGUUCAAGCAUUAGUUUAUAUAAAUAGUAAUAUAUCAAAUUUUGUUAAUAUUCAAAAUAUAUGAGUUGAAUACUCAUGACUGCUAGUUAAUCAUAAAAAUUUGCGAAGAAUUCACAUCGUUAAAAAAUUUACGAACAUCAAAAUUUCUCAUGAAAUGUUUUCAUCAGAAAAUAAGAUAGAAAGUGGAAACAUACCUAUGGACAUUUGUAGGUUCUUAAAUUAUUUCUAAAUAAUAUUCAUUAGCACUGGUGACUGGCAUUAAAAUAUUGCCAGUUUAUCAUGGUAAUUUAACACAAAAUAAUAAGAUUCCACAAGAUGAUUGAAAAAAUGGAACAGACAAGAUUGAAUUACCACCAAAGUCUGGUUUUUACAUGGCUCAAGGUGUUUUUCUUAAUAUUCAACAAGAGACUGGAAACGAUUGGACUAAAAUCAUGUCGGAAACUAUCAAUGAAGUUUACGAAUCUAUAAUAAAAAACUUCUCAGCUCGUGGACGAUAUUCAACUAGCCAGCCAAAAAUUCAUGCCAAGUUAUUUAAUAACUUGUGAUUAAAUUAAAUAAAAAAUUUAUAUUGUGUUAGAUGCGAGUAGUGUAUUAACAGUCUUGUCGUACUAAAUAAAUUCCUUUUGAAAUUCACUAGUAGCAAGGUUUCUUGUACAUGCUAUGUCUUACAAAUUAGAGUAUAGACUAUGAACUGCUUUUACGCCAUAUUAUUUUACCUAAAUAAAUUUAUUGAUAGACGCUUGCAAAUUC
Molecule: long non-coding RNA, 1079 nt
Organism: Cotesia glomerata
Lineage: Eukaryota; Metazoa; Arthropoda; Insecta; Hymenoptera; Braconidae
Exons: 4
Source: RefSeq, a predicted model, not a curated record